GUAACGGCUCACCAAGGCGACGACGGGUAGCCGGCCUGAGAGGGUGACCGGCCACACUGGGACUGAGACACGGCCCAGACUCCUACGGGAGGCAGCAGUGGGGAAUAUUGCACAAUGGGCGGAAGCCUGAUGCAGCGACGCCGCGUGAGGGAUGACGGCCUUCGGGUUGUAAACCUCUUUCAGCAGGGACGAAGCGUAAGUGACGGUACCUGCAGAAGAAGCACCGGCUAACUACGUGCCAGCAGCCGCGGUAAUACGUAGGGUGCGAGCGUUGUCCGGAAUUACUGGGCGUAAAGGGCUCGUAGGUGGUUUGUCGCGUCGACUGUGAAAACCCGUGGCUCAACUGCGGGCUUGCAGUCGAUACGGGCAGGCUAGAGUUCGGUAGGGGAGAUCGGAAUUCCUGGUGUAGCGGUGAAAUGCGCAGAUAUCAGGAGGAACACCGGUGGCGAAGGCGGCUCUCUGGACCUGUCCUGACGCUCAGGCGCGAAAGCUAGGGGAGCAAACAGGAUUAGAUACCCUGGUAGUCCUAGCCGUAAACGUUGGGUGCU
Molecule: ribosomal RNA, 548 nt
Filed under: uncultured Actinomycetes bacterium
Lineage: Bacteria; Bacillati; Actinomycetota; Actinomycetes
Description: bacterial SSU rRNA
Rfam family: Bacterial small subunit ribosomal RNA
Source: RNAcentral